RNAcentral lists this transfer RNA (55 nucleotides) under Diurodrilus subterraneus. RNAcentral's name for it is "tRNA-Pro". Lineage: Eukaryota; Metazoa; Annelida; Polychaeta; Eunicida; Diurodrilidae. The record is from RNAcentral.
CAGAUUAUAGUUUAACAUAAAACAUUAACUUUGGGUGUUAAAAUUCUAUAUCUGA